RNAcentral lists this long non-coding RNA (215 nucleotides) under Elaeis guineensis (African oil palm). RNAcentral's name for it is "long non-coding RNA (EGUI_LNC075244)". The record is from RNAcentral. Lineage: Eukaryota; Viridiplantae; Streptophyta; Magnoliopsida; Arecales; Arecaceae.
UCGUCCAAGUACCUUCGACCUACAAUGUCAUAUUUGGAAGAUCCAGACUAAACACCCUCAGAGCGAUAGUCUCGACAUACCACUUGCUGGUCUGGUUCUUGACUAAAAAUGGAGUUGGAAAAAUGUGCGGAGAUCAGCAGCUCACUCGACGAUGCUUCCAAAUCUCAACUCAAAACAAUAAAUCAGAGGAUUCCCUGUCAGUCGAUAAGUUGGAC